CUCCGCCGGCGACCGGCGCACGGGUGAGUAACACGUAUGCAACCUGCCCCUGUCAGGGGGACAACCCGCCGAAAGGCGGGCUAAACCCGCGUACAUGCCACCGGGGCAUCCCGGAGGCAGGAAAGGCUUCGGCCGGACAGGGAUGGGCAUGCGGCGCAUUAGGCAGUAGGCGGGGUAACGGCCCACCUAACCGACGAUGCGUAGGGGUUCUGAGAGGGCGGACGGCCACACUGGGACUGAGACACGGCCCAGACUCCUACGGAAGGCAGCAG
RNAcentral lists this ribosomal RNA (272 nucleotides) under uncultured bacterium. RNAcentral describes it as "partial 16S ribosomal RNA". It matches the Rfam family "Bacterial small subunit ribosomal RNA", at positions 83 to 354 of the family's 1533-position model. The record is from RNAcentral.